This 838-nucleotide ribosomal RNA is filed under the name Kocuria sp. RNAcentral's name for it is "bacterial SSU rRNA". It matches the Rfam family "Bacterial small subunit ribosomal RNA", at positions 22 to 865 of the family's 1533-position model. The record is from RNAcentral. Lineage: Bacteria; Bacillati; Actinomycetota; Actinomycetes; Micrococcales; Micrococcaceae.
GCUCAGGACGAACGCUGGCGGCGUGCUUAACACAUGCAAGUCGAACGCUGAAGCUUGGUGCUUGCACUGGGUGGAUGAGUGGCGAACGGGUGAGUAAUACGUGAGUAACCUGCCCUUGACUCUGGGAUAAGCCUGGGAAACUGGGUCUAAUACUGGAUACGACAUGUCACCGCAUGGUGGUGUGUGGAAAGGGUUUUACUGGUUUUGGAUGGGCUCACGGCCUAUCAGCUUGUUGGUGGGGUAAUGGCUCACCAAGGCGACGACGGGUAGCCGGCCUGAGAGGGUGACCGGCCACACUGGGACUGAGACACGGCCCAGACUCCUACGGGAGGCAGCAGUGGGGAAUAUUGCACAAUGGGCGGAAGCCUGAUGCAGCGACGCCGCGUGAGGGAUGACGGCCUUCGGGUUGUAAACCUCUUUCAGCACGGAAGAAGCGAAAGUGACGGUACGUGCAGAAGAAGCGCCGGCUAACUACGUGCCAGCAGCCGCGGUAAUACGUAGGGCGCAAGCGUUGUCCGGAAUUAUUGGGCGUAAAGAGCUCGUAGGCGGUUUGUCGCGUCUGCUGUGAAAGCCCGGGGCUUAACCCCGGGUGUGCAGUGGGUACGGGCAGACUUGAGUGCAGUAGGGGAGACUGGAAUUCCUGGUGUAGCGGUGAAAUGCGCAGAUAUCAGGAGGAACACCGAUGGCGAAGGCAGGUCUCUGGGCUGUUACUGACGCUGAGGAGCGAAAGCAUGGGGAGCGAACAGGAUUAGAUACCCUGGUAGUCCAUGCCGUAAACGUUGGGCACUAGGUGUGGGGAACAUUCCACGUUUUCCGCGCCGUAGCUAACGCAUUAAGU